This 32-nucleotide non-coding RNA is filed under the name Rattus norvegicus (Norway rat). The record is from RNAcentral. Lineage: Eukaryota; Metazoa; Chordata; Mammalia; Rodentia; Muridae.
UGAUUGACACUUAAUCACUCAACUGUGGAGUU